CUGGAGGAGAAGGCCAUAGGCCAAGGUCACAGCAUGGAGGCAGAGGUGCAACUUGCCGAACAGCACCUGGCAUAUUCCAGCUCCCAUUAGAGGCCUCUUGUCAUGACUUUCCCCAUACAGUGGAGCAAUGAAACACUCACCUUCAUCCUGGCAUGCGACAGCCGUUUAGGAUGGCCCAUCUCACUUGCUCCUUUGCCAUGGUGCCCCAGGCCUUCCACAAGUCAGAAAUGUUCCUGGCUCUCCCACAGGAUCUGGCACCACAUGGAACUGGCUCUUCCCCAAAGUCGAAAUGACGGUGGGAGAGAAUGAUUCAGGACAUGCAGGCAGCCGUGAAGGUGCCACUAAAGACCCACACGAAAGAGGACUUCCUGAGCUGCUGCAGAACCUGGCAAGAAUGAUAGUAUGAGAGUGUGUGAAUUGAGGAGUAUUUUUAGGAGGA
This 439-nucleotide long non-coding RNA is filed under the name Heterocephalus glaber (naked mole-rat). Its description in RNAcentral is "lncRNA (ENSHGLG00000027923.2)". Lineage: Eukaryota; Metazoa; Chordata; Mammalia; Rodentia; Bathyergidae. The record is from RNAcentral.